UUGACCCAACCCUUGUCAGUGUCUUUUCAAGCUUCAUCUGGGGAAUCUGGACGAAUAGCUUGAAGAAUAGUGAUGGUGGAGGCGGGUUUAGAGACAGAAUGGGCCAAGGUGGGGAUAAGCAAUGUUCUGGCAUCUACAUUACAACCUCAGGACCAAAAAACAUCAUCCAUUUGCAUUGCCACCUUCCUAUGAUUCUAUCAGCAUCUCUAAACCCACCUCCACUACCACCAUUCCUCAAGCUAUUCCUCCAGAUUUACCCAAAUGAAGCUUGAAAAGGCACUGCCAAGGGGUGGUCAACGAGUCACAGUAAUAGAUCAAGUGUUCACCAUCUCUAAACCUUCUUGAAGUGUUGAAGCACCAAAGAGUUAUGGUGGGUCAAGGUGGGAAUAUGCAAUGUCCUGGUGUCUACAUUACAACCUCGGGACCCAACAACGUCAUCCAUUUGUGUUGUCAACUUUCUAUGAUUCUAUUCAGUGGCAAAUGGAAGAAAAGAAGAAAAUUUCAAACUUGCAGUACUGAAAUCUUCCAAUUUCAACUUUGGGUUUGUUUGAUUGUUAAGUUUGUUUAGCAAAAAUUAGGAUUCGUUUAAUUGUUGAAACCUUAGAGUUUAUUUGGAGAAAACUUGGGUUUAUUUAGUUGUAAAUUUUGGGUUGUUGAAGAUUGAUUGUUAAAAUUUUCAUUUGAAUGCUAAAAAGCAGAUAGAACUUUUGAAUUC
RNAcentral lists this unclassified non-coding RNA (715 nucleotides) under Hevea brasiliensis (rubber tree). Lineage: Eukaryota; Viridiplantae; Streptophyta; Magnoliopsida; Malpighiales; Euphorbiaceae. The record is from RNAcentral.